This 495-nucleotide ribosomal RNA is filed under the name uncultured bacterium. RNAcentral describes it as "partial 16S ribosomal RNA". It matches the Rfam family "Bacterial small subunit ribosomal RNA", at positions 28 to 507 of the family's 1533-position model. The record is from RNAcentral.
GAUGAACGCUGGCGGCGUGCCUAAUACAUGCAAGUAGAACGCUGAAGGAGGAGCUUGCUCUUCUGGAUGAGUUGCGAACGGGUGAGUAACGCGUAGGUAACCUGCCUGGUAGCGGGGGAUAACUAUUGGAAACGAUAGCUAAUACCGCAUGACAACAGUUAUUGCAUGAUAACUGUUUAAAAGGGGCAACUGCUCCACUACCAGAUGGACCUGCGUUGUAUUAGCUAGUUGGUGAGGUAACGGCUCACCAAGGCGACGAUACAUAGCCGACCUGAGAGGGUGGUCCGCCCCACUGGGAACGGAACACGGCCCCAGCUCCCUAGGGGAGGAGCAGUAGGGAAACUUUGGACAAGGGGGGAAGGCUGGCCGAGGAAAGCCGGGGGAGUGGAAAAGGGUUUCGGAACGGUAAGCUCGGUUGUAAGGGAAGGAAGAGUGUGAGAGUGGAAAGUUCACACUGUGACGGUAUCUUACCAGAAAGGGACGGCUAACUACGUG